Molecule: long non-coding RNA, 1521 nt
Filed under: Homo sapiens (human)
Lineage: Eukaryota; Metazoa; Chordata; Mammalia; Primates; Hominidae
Description: mir-99a-let-7c cluster host gene
Source: RNAcentral
GCUGCUUGUGCUCCGCAGGACUUCAGGAUUUAAAUGGGCUGAGACGUAUGUCCUGUUCCUCUCCUUUCUAAAAGGGAAAAGCGAUGGCUAUCUUCCACUGAAGUAUUCUGGAGGAAGCUGUGGGAAGAAAAUUGGUGGAUUUUAUUAUUGAAAUAAGCAGAUGGAUCUGAGAACGCUGUCUGGGCUUGGUACCAAGAGCUGGUAUUUCACAGCAGCGACCGCCUCACAGACGAGCUGUGGGAAGCAGGAGGGAGACUCUCUCUUAGGGUGCCACUACUAUGGAGACACAGCUGGGCUGAACAAGAUUUGCUUCAAACGACAACAAGAGAGACAGAAAGUAUCUGGUUCAACCGCUGCCCGAGCAGGCAGGCACCAGAAGAGCUAGCAGCCAAUCCGGCCAUGCUCGAAGCCAGCUCUGCAGCUCAGCCAAUCAGUGACAUCAUUGCUUUCUUUAGCUUGCCCAUGGUGAUGUGAAGAUGAGAAGAAAUAGCAAGGCCCAACCAGUUCUUCAUCUGGAGACAGUUCAACGUUCUGCAAACCAGAUCUUCAGGAAUUUUACUGGGAUAAUUAUCCAAAUAAAUUGCAAGCAUUCUAUCCAAAUGGAGCUCUUUCUGAGAUGAAGAGAAUUCUCAAUGUCAAGAUUUGAACAAGAAGAGAAUGGAAUACACAAUAUGGACAUCCAUAAAAAUUCAUCAGAGAGCAUUUUACUACUGAGCUGCAAAGGUAGGAAAAAUAAAUUUUUUUUGGUUAGAAAAUAUACUUCUUUCAUCUGCGUUUCAAUAAUUUAUUCCCCUUGUUAGAUAUACAUGGAAUUGAUAUUGCUUAUUCUGACUAAGUGAAAAGUGUUAUUUCUACUUACUGCUCAAUUAGAAACAUGUAGUGUUUAAUUGUCAGUUUGAAUUUUUCUUUCAUACUAUUACAGUUUAUAUUUUACUAUAGGCAGAAUUUCCUCUUUAUCCUAAAUUUUGAUAUUCUCCAUAAUUUCAUCGUGCCUUGACAUUGCUGUAUAUAAUUUCUAUACAUCAGGAAGGCAAUUCUGUGUGCAUGUGUGUGUGUAUAUAUAUAGUUAGAAGUUAGAAACUGAAACUCUUUUUUGUCUACCAUCAUUUCAUAUUUUUCUUGCUAUUUCAAACCUAUAAUUUUUAAAGAAACGACUAACGUAAUCAUUCAUAGAAUAUGCUGUCAGUAACUUAACAAUAUAAAUGUUAACAUGGAGGCAUUUAGUUCAGCAUUUGCUUUACUUAAUAGAGUGCAGAAAAUGUGGCCCUUUUCUCAGUUAGGGUGUAUGUGAAGAUAAAUUUAGAAUUUCUAGACUAGUAAAUACUUCUCUGAUAAUAACUUAAUUAUAGCUAUUUCAAACCAAAUUGUUUAAUUGUGGUGAAUCAUAUGUAAAUUGUUCAGAUGUAGGUCAACACCCACGCCCACAUUCUAGCACCUCUUUCCUAAUUCAAGACAACUUUGCAGUGCCUAAAAGAGCUGAACAGUGCAGAUUAGAGACAUAAGACAAAAAAAAAAAAAAAA